GCAGAGAGACAGGUGGUGCAUGGUUGUCGUCAGCUCGUGUCGUGAGAUGUUGGGUUAAGUCCCGCAACGAGCGCAACCCCUAUCUUCAGUAGCCAGCAGUCCGGGUGGGCACUCUGGAGAGACUGCCAGGGAUAACCUGGAGGAAGGUGGGGAUGACGUCAAAUCAUCAUGCCCCUUAUGACCAGGGCUACACACGUGCUACAAUGGCGUAAACAAAGGGAAGCGAGACUGUGAGGUGGAGCAAAUCCCAAAAAUAACGUCUCAGUUCGGAUUGUAGUCUGCAACUCGACUACAUGAAGCUGGAAUCGCUAGUAAUCGCGAAUCAGCAUGUCGCGGUGAAUACGUUCCCGGGUCUG
This 356-nucleotide ribosomal RNA is filed under the name uncultured bacterium. RNAcentral describes it as "bacterial SSU rRNA". It matches the Rfam family "Bacterial small subunit ribosomal RNA", at positions 1026 to 1381 of the family's 1533-position model. The record is from RNAcentral.